This 1318-nucleotide long non-coding RNA is filed under the name Vulpes vulpes (red fox). RNAcentral describes it as "lncRNA (ENSVVUG00000018395.1)". Lineage: Eukaryota; Metazoa; Chordata; Mammalia; Carnivora; Canidae. The record is from RNAcentral.
CUCACACACGAGCCCUGUGCUGCACUUCACGCACGGCAGACCCGCGGCGUUCAAGCCCCGCGUUGUGCAUAUGCCGGGACGGCGACUGCCUCUCGGGUCAGGCACCUGGCCAGACCCCGUCCGGCCUGCCUGGAGAGGGCUGUAAUGCAUAAUAUGUCGACCCCCCAAGAGAUCUGGGUAGCGGGGUUUUAGAGCUGGGCUCUCUCCCGUUGGAACGUGAGCGAAUGGGUUCGAGGGUUCGCCCCGUCAGGUGGGAAGAGCCGAGCCGCACGUCCGGCAGGACGCAAAAUGGAGGCGAGGCCUUCGCAGGCGGCUCCGGGCUGAGGCGUCGCAGCAAACGGCUUGAGGGGCUGAAGACGUUCCCUAAAGAACAGUGGGCAUCUGAGCAGAUGAAUAUUCCAGAAUUCUAUGCAGCCAACCAUAAGAGCUCUGCGGCCGUUCACCUGACUGCAGCAGAAUCGAGGCUUGAUGGUUACGGUGGGUGACAGAAGAGGGGCCGUUGGAAGUGCUAUUAUGCAGUUUGCACGGGAAGAUUUCAGCACAUUUCAGCUUUAUCUAGUUAUGCUAGAAUUUGGUCAGUUAUUUAAAACAAAAGAUAAAAAUAAAAAAACACUGUAUUAUAGUGAAAAUGUUUAUCAGAUGAAGAGCUCAGCUUUAACAACACGCCUUGCCAAAAAGCUUUGCAAAUCGUUCCUCACUUGGGAGCAUGUGAGAAAGGGCUGUAAUAAGAAUAGCUGAGAUUUGCUGGAGCCAAAGCUUACGGAAAGAAGAAUCUGCAGGUUUAAAAAGUUACUUCCUUCUAAGAUGCUACAAGCAAUUCCACUGGCAGAUCCCCAUUCAUGUACCAUAUAAUUGUUUCCUGAUUUGGGAUACCAAAAUGAUAAAAAACAUAUGAGGUUUGAGUAUAGAGUAAUGAGGCACCAAUCUUACAAACAGACCCAAACUUACAUUUUCAAAUCAAUCUUUUCAUUCAGAGGCAUCACCUCCAGAGUCUAUACCCAUUCCAUUUGUAUGGCCAUUCUUCUCUUUAAAAUUACUCUCUUGAUGGACAUCCUGUUUACAAAUCUGUAAUGAGUCCCAAUUAUCAUAUAUUGAGAGAAUUUGUAUUAUCAUUCAGGGACAGUAUUGGUGAACAGAUAGGUGACCUAGCUUGUUUUAGGUAAAGAAGAGAAAGAAAAAGAAGAGAAAGGUUAUAGGAGCCUGGGUGAUAUAAUCAUGUGGCCAGUCUUCUUGUGUGAAUCAUGAACAUAUUCAGAAGAUUAUUCUGAAAGAUGAAUUUCAAAAUAAAUUUUGAACAAAGAGUAGUUUUGGUGAACUG